This is an RNA transcript of Momordica charantia (bitter melon), 962 nucleotides long. It is a transcript of the gene named Photosystem II reaction center PsbP family protein, with no coding region annotated. NCBI's taxonomy places the organism in Eukaryota, Viridiplantae, Streptophyta, Magnoliopsida, Cucurbitales, Cucurbitaceae. The record is from RefSeq and is a predicted model, not a curated record.
UUCAAAAGAAAUCUUCUAUCUGUAAACUAGUGGAGUUGAGCAUGGCGUCUCUUCCUUCUCCCUCACCGAGCGCUGUAAUCCAGCGCCCUCGUCCAUGGCGGUUCAGAGAAUCAUCACUCUCCAAUGGAAUCGCCAUUCAUAUCCGCUCGAAGUCAAAACCCGGCGUUCUCUGCUCCUGCAACAACAUUGACAUCUCCGAUCCACAGCUCUGUUAUUGGGCGAGUGGAGUCAAUAGACGAGAAAUUAUGCUAGGGAUUGCAUUGAGCACGUUUUCUUUUCAAGCUGUGGUUUCUAAUUCCUUGGCUGAGAGUGUUGUUGUCGCUGAGGAUUUUCGGACGUACACGGAUGAAGCGAAUAAGUUCAGAUUGGUGAUUCCUCAAGAUUGGGUUGUGGGUAAUGGUGAACCGAAUGGAUUCAAGUCGGUUACGGCUUUUUAUCCCCAAGAAACUUCAAGUUCCAAUGUCAGUGUUGUAAUCUCGGGGCUUGGUCCUGAUUUCACGAGAAUGGAAUCCUUUGGCAAGGUUGAAGAAUUUGCUGAUACCCUGGUGAGCGGACUGGACAGAAGCUGGAAAAGGCCACCAGGUGUGGCGGCGAAACUUAUAGACUGUAGAUCAUCUAAAGGGAUAUAUUACAUAGAGUACACGCUGCAGAAUCCAGGUGAAAGCCGCAAACAUUUAUACUCUGCAAUUGGGAUGGCAUCCAAUGGCUGGUACAACAGACUUUACACCAUAACAGGACAGUAUGCAGAUGAAGAAUCGGAGAACUAUAGUUCCAAAAUUGAGAAGGUGCUUUAACUAGUUGAAUUGCCCGAGAAGAGAAUGAUGUUGCAGGAGACUAUGGAAAAGAUUUUGCAAAUCAAGAUUUUAAAAUUCUCUCCGGUCGUCAAUUCCUUCUCUUUCAUUUGAUGAAUUGCAGUACAGGUCUCCGCUACACCAUUGGUUAUGGGGUUAAAAUUUUUUCAC